This 484-nucleotide ribosomal RNA is filed under the name uncultured bacterium. RNAcentral's name for it is "partial 16S ribosomal RNA". It matches the Rfam family "Bacterial small subunit ribosomal RNA", at positions 28 to 507 of the family's 1533-position model. The record is from RNAcentral.
AUUGAACGCUGGCGGCAUGCUUUACACAUGCAAGUCGAACGGCAGCGCGGGCUUCGGCCUGGCGGCGAGUGGCGAACGGGUGAGUAAUGCAUCGGAACGUGCCCAGUAGUGGGGGAUAGCCCGUCGAAAGCCGGAUUAAUACCGCAUACGACCUGAGGGUGAAAGCGGGGGACCGAAAGGCCUCGCGCUAUUGGAGCGGCCGAUGUCGGAUUAGCUAGUUGGUGGGGUAAAGGCUUACCAAGGCGACGAUCCGUAGCUGGUCUGAGAGGACGACCAGCCACACUGGGACUGAGACACGGCCCAGACUCCUACGGGAGGCAGCAGUGGGGAAUUUUGGACAAUGGGGGCAACCCUGAUCCAGCCAUGCCGCGUGCGGGAAGAAGGCCUUCGGGUUGUAAACCGCUUUUGUUCGGGAAGAAAUUCUUUGGGCUAAUACCCCGGGGGGAUGACGGUACCGGAAGAAUAAGCACCGGCUAACUACGUG